GGCGGACGGGUGAGUAACGCGUAGGAAUCUACCUAAUAGUGGGGGAUAGCCCAGGGAAACUUGGAUUAAUACCGCGUACGCCCUAAGGGGGAAAGCGGGGGAUCUUCGGACCUCGUGCUAUUAGAUGAGCCUGCGUAAGAUUAGCUAGUUGGUGAGGUAAGAGCUCACCAAGGCGACGAUCUUUAGCUGGUCUGAGAGGAUGAUCAGCCACACUGGGACUGAGACACGGCCCAGACUCCUACGGGAGGCAGCAGUGGGGAAUAUUGGACAAUGGGGGCAACCCUGAUCCAGCCAUGCCGCGUGUGUGAAGAAGGCCUUCGGGUUGUAAAGCACUUUCAGAUGUGAGGAAAGGUUGCAGAUUAAUACUCUGUAGCUGUGACGUUAACAUCAGAAGAAGGACCGGCUAACUCCGUGCCAGCAGCCGCGGUAAUACGGAGGGUCCGAGCGUUAAUCGGAAUUACUGGGCGUAAAGCGCGC
This 477-nucleotide ribosomal RNA is filed under the name uncultured Oceanospirillaceae bacterium. Its description in RNAcentral is "bacterial SSU rRNA". It matches the Rfam family "Bacterial small subunit ribosomal RNA", at positions 97 to 570 of the family's 1533-position model. The record is from RNAcentral. Lineage: Bacteria; Pseudomonadati; Pseudomonadota; Gammaproteobacteria; Oceanospirillales; Oceanospirillaceae.